GUGAGUAGUUCAGAGUUUGAUCCUGGCUCAGGAUGAACGCUAGCGGCAGGCUUAACACAUGCAAGUCGAGGGGCAGCAUAAACAUUGCUUGCAAUGUUUGAUGGCGACCGGCGCACGGGUGCGUAACGCGUAUGUAACCUACCUCAAACAGGGGCAUAACACUGAGAAAUUGGUACUAAUUCCCCAUAACACUUUAAGAGGCAUCUUUUGAAGUUGAAAGUUCCGGCGGUUUGAGAUGGACAUGCGUUGUAUUAGCUAGUUGGUGAGGUAACGGCUCACCAAGGCGACGAUACAUAGGGGGACUGAGAGGUUAACCCCCCACAUUGGUACUGAGACACGGACCAA
This 345-nucleotide ribosomal RNA is filed under the name uncultured bacterium. Its description in RNAcentral is "bacterial SSU rRNA". It matches the Rfam family "Bacterial small subunit ribosomal RNA", at positions 1 to 334 of the family's 1533-position model. The record is from RNAcentral.